This 316-nucleotide ribosomal RNA is filed under the name uncultured bacterium. RNAcentral describes it as "bacterial SSU rRNA". It matches the Rfam family "Bacterial small subunit ribosomal RNA", at positions 28 to 334 of the family's 1533-position model. The record is from RNAcentral.
GAUAAACGCUGGCGGCGCACAUAAGACAUGCAAGUCGAACGGACUUAACUCAUUCUUUUAGAUUGAGAGCGGUUAGUGGCGGACUGGUGAGUAACACGUAAGCAACCUGCCUAUUAGAGGGGAAUAACAGUGAGAAAUCAUUGCUAAUACCGCAUAUGCUAACAGUAUCGCAUGAUACAGUUAGGAAAGGAGAAAUCCGCUAAAAGAUGAGUCUACGGCUGAUUAGCCAGUUGGCGGGGUAAAGGCCCACCAAAGCUAUGAUCAGUAGCCGAGCUGAGAGGCUGGCCGGCCACAUUGGGACUGAGACACGGCCCAG